CGGACUAUGGCGCAGUUUGGUAGCGCACUACACUGGGGGUGUAGGGGUCGCAGGUUCAAAUCCUGUUAGUCCGACC
Molecule: transfer RNA, 76 nt
Filed under: Corynebacterium striatum
Lineage: Bacteria; Bacillati; Actinomycetota; Actinomycetes; Mycobacteriales; Corynebacteriaceae
Description: tRNA-Pro(ggg)
Rfam family: tRNA
About the family: Transfer RNA (tRNA) molecules are approximately 80 nucleotides in length. Their secondary structure includes four short double-helical elements and three loops (D, anti-codon, and T loops).
Source: RNAcentral